UGGCGGACGGGUGAGUAAUGUCUGGGAAACUGCCUGAUGGAGGGGGAUAAUUACUGGAAACGGUAGCUAAUACCGCAUAACGUCGCAAGACCAAAGAGGGGGACCUUCGGGCCUCUUGCCAUCGGAUGUGCCCAGAUGGGAUUAGCUAGUAGGUGGGGUAACGGCUCACCUAGGCGACGAUCCCUAGCUGGUCUGAGAGGAUGACCAGCCACACUGGAACUGAGACACGGUCCAG
This 235-nucleotide ribosomal RNA is filed under the name uncultured bacterium. RNAcentral's name for it is "partial 16S ribosomal RNA". It matches the Rfam family "Bacterial small subunit ribosomal RNA", at positions 96 to 334 of the family's 1533-position model. The record is from RNAcentral.